Long non-coding RNA from Oxyura jamaicensis (ruddy duck), 579 nucleotides. RefSeq lists it as uncharacterized. The transcript has 3 exons. The record is from RefSeq and is a predicted model, not a curated record. NCBI's taxonomy places the organism in Eukaryota, Metazoa, Chordata, Aves, Anseriformes, Anatidae.
GGAAGGAUAAAAAAUAGAGAACAACAAAAAACACCUAUAAGCUUACAUCAAAUAUACACAGAAACAAUAGCACAGCCUUUUGUGUUCCCAGAUUGAGAAGGUGCAUAUUCUAAAACUUUAUUAAAUGGUCAUCCAAUGCUCUUGCAGUCAGGUGUUAAACAUGUUUUAUACAUGUUUUCCUUGGCUGUGACUAGACAGAGUCCAACCCAUUAAUGGUUUUGGUUUUUUUUGUGUGCAGUGUAGCUUAUUUAUCUGAUACUGUGUAGCUUAUUUAUCUGAUACUAUGGUAUUGGCUGGCUCUAAUUUUACAUAAUAAAAUGCUUUGCAGAGUGCUGAAUUUGUUACCAUUGAUUUCAGUAGCUUUUAAAGCUUCUGUUUCAAACAAUGCUCUCAUAACAAACAUUUCACGAGCAUGGGGCGUGGACAGAAAGAAUAGGAAAAUCCUGUUGUACCACUUCUCUAUCAUGUGUUAACCAAGGCAGUACUGAAACUAUAUUUUGUAAUUGAGUUAUGUCUAAUCAAUUUUGUUCCUCUCAUGGAAUCUCUAAGUGCAUCUAGAACAUCUAGAACUGUAUUCCU